UGGGGAAUAUUGCACAAUGGGCGCAAGCCUGAUGCAGCCAUGCCGCGUGUAUGAAGAAGGCCUUCGGGUUGUAAAGUACUUUCAGCGGGGAGGAAGGUGUUGUGGUUAAUAACCACAGCAAUUGACGUUACCCGCAGAAGAAGCACCGGCUAACUCCGUGCCAGCAGCCGCGGUAAUACGGAGGGUGCAAGCGUUAAUCGGAAUUACUGGGCGUAAAGCGCACGCAGGCGGUCUGUCAAGUCGGAUGUGAAAUCCCCGGGCUCAACCUGGGAACUGCAUCCGAAACUGGCAGGCUUGAGUCUUGUAGAGGGGGGUAGAAUUCCAGGUGUAGCGGUGAAAUGCGUAGAGAUCUGGAAGAAUACCGGUGGCGAAGGCGGCCCCCUGGACAAAGACUGACGCUCAGGUGCGAAAGCGUGGGGAGCAAACA
Molecule: ribosomal RNA, 427 nt
Filed under: uncultured bacterium
Lineage: Bacteria
Description: partial 16S ribosomal RNA
Rfam family: Bacterial small subunit ribosomal RNA
Source: RNAcentral